UGAGUAACCUGCCCUUAACUCUGGGAUAAGCCUGGGAAACUGGGUCUAAUACCGGAUAUGACUCCUCAUCGCAUGGUGGGGGGUGGAAAGCUUUAUUGUGGUUUUGGAUGGACUCGCGGCCUAUCAGCUUGUUGGUGAGGUAAUGGCUCACCAAGGCGACGACGGGUAGCCGGCCUGAGAGGGCGAUCGGCCACACUGGGACUGAGACACGGCCCAGACCUCCGUACGGGGAGGCAG
This 237-nucleotide ribosomal RNA is filed under the name uncultured bacterium. RNAcentral's name for it is "partial 16S ribosomal RNA". It matches the Rfam family "Bacterial small subunit ribosomal RNA", at positions 118 to 351 of the family's 1533-position model. The record is from RNAcentral.